CAAAAAGAAACACACAGAGACACAGGCAAACGAAGGAGUUCGACAAUCGGCAUUUCCCGUGACGCAAACGCAAUCGGUUCGAACGAAGACAAACCGCCCCCUUUUUUUCUCUCUCUCUCUCUCCCCGAGCACAUGGGCCCGCGAGGACUCACCCCACCACCCACCGAAAACACGCUCUCGCCUAAAACAACAACAUAAAAUGGACGGCCCGCGAUUAAGACUUUUUUUUAUUCAGCUUCCGUUAGCGCCCCACGCGACGCCAAGAUCGGCGGUGGGGAAGCUUCUUGAGCGUGUUAAUCGGGGCUGAAGAGGAGCCGGUGCCCCCCACAAAGAUGGAUCCUGCGGCCAAGGGGUGGAAACCUAUCAUCCUUGCCUGGUCUGGCCUAUGUGUGACUCCAGACCCAUAGCAAUGUGGUUGAUUUUUAACUGCUGUUUGAAACGGCCCAGCAAGACACUCCAUUCAUUGGCAGUGAAGGAUGGACAAUAAGAGUUGGAUCAGCCAGCAAUGUUCACAUCUCACGAAUGAAUAAAAUAUGUUAAUUUA
Long non-coding RNA from Hemiscyllium ocellatum (epaulette shark), 544 nucleotides. RefSeq lists it as uncharacterized. The record is from RefSeq and is a predicted model, not a curated record. Lineage: Eukaryota; Metazoa; Chordata; Chondrichthyes; Orectolobiformes; Hemiscylliidae. The transcript is spliced from 2 exons.